Molecule: ribosomal RNA, 609 nt
Filed under: uncultured fungus
Lineage: Eukaryota; Fungi
Description: eukaryotic LSU rRNA
Rfam family: Eukaryotic large subunit ribosomal RNA
Source: RNAcentral
CCCGCUGAACUUAAGCAUAUCAAUAAGCGGAGGAAAAGAANNCAACAGGGAUUACCCUAGUAACGGCGAGUGAAGCGGUAACAGCUCAAAUUUGAANUCUGGCCCUCACGGGUCCGAGUUGUAAUUUGUAGAGGAUGUUUCGGGCAAGGUUAUGGUUUAAGUUUCUUGGAACAGAACGUCACAGAGGGUGAGAGUCCCGUCUAGAACCGAUAGCCGUGUCCAUGUGAAACUCCUUCGACGAGUCGAGUUGUUUGGGAAUGCAGCUCAAAAUGGGUGGUAAAUUUCAUCUAAAGCUAAAUAUUGGCCAGAGACCGAUAGCGCACAAGUAGAGUGAUCGAAAGAUGAAAAGCACUUUGAAAAGAGAGUUAAACAGUAUGUGAAAUUGUUGAAAGGGAAGCGCUUGCAACCAGACUUGUGUAUGGCGGUUCCCCCAGUCUUUUGACUGGGCUAUUCCGUUAUAUCCAGGCCAGCAUCGGUUCGGGUGGUUGGUUAAAGGUCUUGGGAAUGUAUCUACCUCCGGGUCGACAUAUAGCCCAGGGCGUAAUGCGACCUACCUGGACCGAGGAACGCGCUUUUGCUCGGAUGCUGGCGUAAUGGUUGUAAGCGGCC